GUGCUUACUACAGCAGCACAUAUACUAAAAUUGGAAUGAUACAAAGAAGAUUAGCAUGGCCCCUGUGCAAAGAUGACACAAAUUCAUGAAGCGUUCCCUAUUUCA
Molecule: small nuclear RNA, 105 nt
Organism: Homo sapiens (human)
Lineage: Eukaryota; Metazoa; Chordata; Mammalia; Primates; Hominidae
Source: Ensembl